AGCGACUGUCUUGAAAGUCAAGCGAUCGUUAACAAAAACCGGGACUCUGAACAUUGACGCAACUGGGGAACGCUGCGCUAGAUUCUGCGGUGGCUGGUACGGGCAAAAAGACUUGUGGCUCUUGGCU
Molecule: ribosomal RNA, 127 nt
Filed under: Anabaena cylindrica FACHB-170
Lineage: Bacteria; Bacillati; Cyanobacteriota; Cyanophyceae; Nostocales; Nostocaceae
Description: partial 23S ribosomal RNA
Source: RNAcentral